Molecule: ribosomal RNA, 253 nt
Filed under: uncultured bacterium
Lineage: Bacteria
Description: partial 16S ribosomal RNA
Rfam family: Bacterial small subunit ribosomal RNA
Source: RNAcentral
UACGUAGGUGGCAAGCGUUGUCCGGAUUUACUGGGCGUAAAGGGCGUGCAGGCGGUUUGUUUAGUCUAGGGUGAAAGCUCCCGGCUUAACUGGGAGAGGUCCUUGGAUACUGGCAAACUUGAGGGAGGCAGAGGAAAGUGGAAUUCCCGGUGUAGUGGUGAAAUGCGUAGAUAUCGGGAGAAACACCUGUGGCGAAGGCGGCUUUCUGGGCCUUACCUGACGCUGAGACGCGAAAGCGUGGGGAGCGAACCGG